UCCGAGUAGAGCGGCGCACGGGUGCGAAACACGUGGAUAAUCUGCCCUUGAAUUCGGGAUAACCUUCCGAAAGGUUGGCUAAUACCGGGUAAGCUCACGGUGACUUCGGUCGCUGUGGGAAAAGUAGACCUCUGUUUACAAGUUUACGUUUGAGGAUGAGUCCGCGGCCCAUCAGCUAGUUGGCGGGGUAAUGGCCCACCAAGGCUACGACGGGUAGCUGGUCUGAGAGGACGAUCAGCCACACUGGAACUGAGACACGGUCCAGACUCCUACGGGAGGCAGCAGUGGGGAAUUUUCCACAAUGGGCGAAAGCCUGAUGGAGCAACGCCGCGUGUGUGAUGAAGGUCUUCGGAUCGUAAAGCACUUUCGACCGGGACGAAAAACCUCUGGCUAACAUCCAGGGGCCUGACGGUACCGGGAGAAGAAGCACCGGCUAACUCUGUGCCAGCAGCCGCGGUAAUACAGAGGGUGCAAGCGUUGUUCGGAAUUAUUAGGCGUAAAGCGCGUGUAGGCGGCUUGGCAAGUCAGAUGUGAAAGCCCAUGGCUUAACCAUGGAAGUGCGUCUGAAACUGCUGAGCUUGAGUGCCGGAGAGGAUGGCGGAAUUCCGCAAGUAGAGGUGAAAUUCGUAGAUAUGCGGAGGAACACCGGUGGCGAAGGCGGCCAUCUGGACGGCAACUGACGCUGAGACGCGAAAGCGUGGGGAGCAAACAGGAUUAGAUACCCUGGUAGUCCACGCUGUAAACGAUGAGAACUAGGUGUCGUGGGUGUUGACCCCCGCGGUGCCGUAGCUAACGCAUUAAG
RNAcentral lists this ribosomal RNA (802 nucleotides) under uncultured bacterium. Its description in RNAcentral is "bacterial SSU rRNA". It matches the Rfam family "Bacterial small subunit ribosomal RNA", at positions 85 to 864 of the family's 1533-position model. The record is from RNAcentral.